UCCAAUGUUCUAGUCAACCAGUGUCACAGU
Molecule: non-coding RNA, 30 nt
Filed under: Rattus norvegicus (Norway rat)
Lineage: Eukaryota; Metazoa; Chordata; Mammalia; Rodentia; Muridae
Source: RNAcentral